Molecule: ribosomal RNA, 36 nt
Filed under: Lagenocarpus rigidus
Lineage: Eukaryota; Viridiplantae; Streptophyta; Magnoliopsida; Poales; Cyperaceae
Description: 5.8S ribosomal RNA
Source: RNAcentral
GUGAUGACUCUCGGCAACGGAUAUCUCGGCUCUCGC